Molecule: long non-coding RNA, 779 nt
Filed under: Equus caballus (horse)
Lineage: Eukaryota; Metazoa; Chordata; Mammalia; Perissodactyla; Equidae
Description: lncRNA (ENSECAG00000051783.1)
Source: RNAcentral
GCCUGUGGAGCGCAGGGCUUCCUAGCUCGGGAAGCAGACUCAGAGAGGGUGUGUGGCUUGCCCCAGGUCACACAGCGGGGCAGGGGCCCAGGGCCUAGCCUGCCAGUCCUGUUUCUGCCCCCAUCCUGGGGUUCUGGUGCAGGGUCUCCUGCCUGUGCUGACCAGCAGUAUUCAUGAGGUGCUGGUCAGCUCAGGUGGUGGCAGCAGGGAAGGAGGUGCGCUUGGAGCCAGGCAGCCCCGGAGGCACCACUUUCCAGCUGGGGGUCACUCAACUUUCAGGAAGCCCAGGGUCCUCCUCUGGCAGUGGUGACGGCCCCGGCCUCCAGGAGCGGCCGCAAGGAUUCAGAGCUGAUAAGGCUCAGGGAGCACUGACGGGGGAGCACUUCCUGUGUGCCAGGCCCAGGACUCAGCGCUGUGGUGCCCCGACCCCUGGAAAUCUCACAGCAGCCUGACUGACAGCUCGGGUCGUGUUGUGUAAGCUGGCUUCGGUGCCUGACGAGAAUCCCAACGCCACCACCUCCUUGGGCCACUCAUCUGACCUCACCAGGCCUCUGUUUCCUAUCUGCAAAAUGGGAACACUGAGUUCACAGGGCUGUGAGUCCCACAUGAACCGCCUUGGCCAGGGCCUGCUCCCUGCAAGGUCCUUUGGUGGGCUGUUAGGGUGAUUGUUGUCAUCUGCCCCCUGGGGGCUGCCAGAUGCAUCCCACCAGCCAGCCCUGGAGAGGGUGGGAUGGGAGGAUGGGGUGCAUGGGGAGAGAAGCCUGGAGACUGGGCCCUCC